RNAcentral lists this ribosomal RNA (253 nucleotides) under uncultured bacterium. RNAcentral's name for it is "partial 16S ribosomal RNA". It matches the Rfam family "Bacterial small subunit ribosomal RNA", at positions 524 to 776 of the family's 1533-position model. The record is from RNAcentral.
UACGGAGGGUGCAAGCGUUGUCCGGAAUCACUGGGCGUAAAGGGCGCGUAGGCGGCUCGGUAAGUAGGGGGUGAAAUCCUGCGGCUUAACCGCAGGGCUGCCUUCUAAACUGUCGAGCUUGAGCACGGUAGAGGCAGAUGGAAUUCCCGGUGUAGCGGUGAAAUGCGCAGAUAUCAGGAAGAACACCCGUGGCGAAGGCGGCUCUCUGGGACGGUACUGACGCUGAGACGCGAAAGCGUGGGGAGCGAACAGG